GGGUGGAAGGGAUCAGGAGGGCUUGCACUGUCGGAAGAAGCCUCCGGCGCACGAUUUGGUUGUAGGUGUCCACUAUGGAUCCGGUGGCUCCUGCUACUUCGGGUCCGGACAGUGUUGUAAAGGAUUUGAUGCUCAAUCCAUAAUAUUAGUUCCUUUUGCAAAGAAUUGAUAAGAAAUUAGACAUGCAACUUAGUCUGAUUUUGUUGUGAAAAGUUGUGCAUAAUUGGAAGGGCCAGGUGUGAAACAGGAAAUAAUAUUGGCAUACAUCAAUGUAAGCACAUUUAUAUUUGCUUCAAUAGUCUGAAUAACCACGCGACAUUCAUCAAACUUUCACUUGGAUCUACUUUCAGAGUGCAUGUCGUGCAACCGAUCUGGCCGCAUGACUCAUUAGAAGCAUAUAUCCGAGUGAUUUAAACAGCAUCAAGAAGAACACCUGUUUCAUUCGGAUCCGACAUCGAUUAUUGCUGUACUUCACUACCUUCCGUGUUAGACAUAUCUGAGCAAUUUAUUCCUAUCUGGUUCCUCACAAUAAGUUUUCUUUUUCAAUCAAGUGUGUGUGUCCCACUUUUCAAUGAACAUGGCAUUAAGCGGACUAGCAACCAUAACCUGCCAACAAAUCUUCUGCAUGUGCAUCUACAUUUUGAUUUUAUGAGGUUUGUAAUUCCUACCUAUAAAUAAUCACUAGUCUGAGUUCCUAGCUCCUAAUAACACCUCAACCUGCAUCUAUAUAUACACACCCAC
Molecule: long non-coding RNA, 741 nt
Filed under: Setaria viridis
Lineage: Eukaryota; Viridiplantae; Streptophyta; Magnoliopsida; Poales; Poaceae
Description: long non-coding RNA (SVIR_LNC010087)
Source: RNAcentral